AGCAGGCUCCAGACUCCGAGCUGUCAGCACAGAGCCCUGACAUGGGGCUAGAAUUCACGAAAGAUGAGAUCAUGACCUGAGCCAAAGUUGGAUGCUUAACCGACUGAGCCACAGGCACCCCGCUACAAGACUUGUCUUGACUUCAUGUUGCUUCUGCAUAAAGAACGCCCAGUGAUGCUUGCCUACCAUCAAGUUUCAACAGCACGACAAUCAGGCAGCUUCCCAGUGAGUUUCAACAGAAUUCUUGUGACUUCGCAUUUAAUUCUGCCAGCAUUAACCUUGUGAGCAGUUUCCUGGAAUCUCAGUGGUUUUCUGGAGAGUUUGUCAGCACUCCAACUCAGCAGUCCAGCCCAGUUUCCUGCAUUCCAGUCUCAAUGCGCAGCAAUUCAUCAAAUUUCAUCAUCCACUGACAUCACCUGUCAUACACUCUUCCAUAAAGUCCAAUUAUUAGUCUUGGAGGAAAGGGGCCUCUUCCAAAUUCGUUCCUUCCUUGAGCACAUUGCCUCAACCUUAGAAGCUGUGGCUGCUCCCUAUAUCUGCUACUGUAUUGUUUUAGAGUUCUUUUUACCCCUUAGUAGUUAAUCCCAUUACUAGUUAAUAAUUCUUUAUAUUAAAUUUUCCCUGUUUAACGUGUGGUUUCUGUUUCCUGACUGAGAUCCUAGCUGAUACAACAUCUCAUUUAUAUUUUAAAAAACUGUGUGUGUGUGUACAUACUUAUGUAAAUAUAUAGAUGACACAGAAAAUACCAAAUUAUUAUCAGUGAUUAUUACAGGAAAAUGAAUGGAAUUACAAGUAUAGGAUAAAAGAAGAUUUUCUCAGGGCACCUGGGUGGCUCAGUUGGUUAAGCAUCUGACUUCAGCUCAGGUCAUGAUCUCAUGGUUCAUGGGUUCGAGCCCCACAUGGGCUCUGUGCUGACAGCUCAGAGCCUGGAGCCUGCUUCAGAUUCUGUGUCUCCCUCUCUCUCUGCCCCUCCCCUGUUCACACUGUCUCUCUCUGUCUCUCAAAUAAAUAAAUGUAAAAAAAAUUUU
Long non-coding RNA from Neofelis nebulosa (Clouded leopard), 1028 nucleotides. RefSeq lists it as uncharacterized. Lineage: Eukaryota; Metazoa; Chordata; Mammalia; Carnivora; Felidae. The transcript has 2 exons. The record is from RefSeq and is a predicted model, not a curated record.